GACGAACGCUGGCGGCGUGCUUAACACAUGCAAGUCGAACGAUGAAGCCGGAGCUUGCUCUGGUGAAUUAGUGGCGAACGGGUGAGUAACACGUGAGUAACCUGCCCUUGACUCUGGGAUAACUGCGGGAAACUGUAGCUAAUACCGGAUACGACCCUCGGAGGCAUCUCCUGGGGGUGGAAAGAAUUUCGGUCAAGGAUGGACUCGCGGCCUAUCAGCUAGUUGGUGAGGUAAAGGCUCACCAAGGCGACGACGGAUAGCCGGCCUGCGAGGGUGACCGGCCACACUGGGACUGAGACACGGCCCAGACUCCUACGGGAGGCAGCAGUGGGGAAUAUUGCACAAUGGGCGCAAGCCUGAUGCAGCAACGCCGCGUGAGGGAUGAAGGCCUGCGGGUUGUAAACCUCUUUUAGCAGGGAAGAAGCGAAAGUGACGGUACCUGCAGAAAAAGCACCGGCUAACUACGUGCCAGCCGCCGCAGUAA
This 484-nucleotide ribosomal RNA is filed under the name uncultured bacterium. RNAcentral describes it as "partial 16S ribosomal RNA". It matches the Rfam family "Bacterial small subunit ribosomal RNA", at positions 28 to 523 of the family's 1533-position model. The record is from RNAcentral.